Molecule: non-coding RNA, 672 nt
Organism: Meleagris gallopavo (turkey)
Lineage: Eukaryota; Metazoa; Chordata; Aves; Galliformes; Phasianidae
Source: RefSeq, a predicted model, not a curated record
AAGAAAGCAUGACUGUGAUGAAGCAAAGGCACUUAUUAUGCAGCCAGCCCAGGAAUUUCAUUAUGCAGAGUGCUUCUUGGAAGAAUGAGCCUGCUUCCACAGUGCCUGAGUCAGCUGCUCUGAGAGGCAACUUUAGUUUUAGGCAUCAUCUGUAAGCACGCUGACACAAGUGCACAAUCCCAGCUUUAAAAAUGACUAACAUUAGCAUUUUCACCUACACCUCCGAGUGAAAGAAUAAACAUUAAAUAACAGUCAGUGGAACAAAAUACAAGACCUGAGUGGGAGUAGAAGUAAAGUGAGGUGGGGGAGGAGGGAAUAAAGGAGGGAUUUGAAAAGCUCCUCUACCUACUUCAAUUUGUUUAAACCACUGAAUGUAUUUUCAGAUUCCAGCAGUAGCCAAGUUAAAUUAUUCACACCUCUUAGAAUUUUUAUCCUUAGGUUGUCAUAAAACAUUUUGACAGAAUACCAACGUGAAAUAGUGCUGGCAUGGAUUUGAAGACACUGUUAGCAGAAGUUUUUGGAAACAGCUUUUGGGAAAUGAUGGAGACAGUGACAGCCACUUUCUUAAUCUGAAGUUUACUUAAGGUAAAGUGCAAUACCUUCUCCCGAUGAUGAAUCCAAACACCAUGAAGACCAGAAUGAUGGUUCCUGCCACAGCGACUACAGCUAUGA